CCGCUGUUUGCACGCAUCGCUGGUUGUCCAGUGUACGCGAGGGAUCACACCGGCAUUUGCCAAGAUAGCAGCUACUGCCACCGGAACACAUCUCGCCGUUUGAACAAUGACCGCCAGGAAACUGUUUGCAUUUUCCAGUGAGCUCGACAG
This is a non-coding RNA of Caenorhabditis elegans, 150 nucleotides long. NCBI's taxonomy places the organism in Eukaryota, Metazoa, Nematoda, Chromadorea, Rhabditida, Rhabditidae. The record is from Ensembl.